RNAcentral lists this ribosomal RNA (253 nucleotides) under uncultured bacterium. RNAcentral's name for it is "partial 16S ribosomal RNA". It matches the Rfam family "Bacterial small subunit ribosomal RNA", at positions 524 to 776 of the family's 1533-position model. The record is from RNAcentral.
GACGUAGGUGGCGAACGUUAUCCGGAAUUAUUGGGCGUAAAGGGUGCGUAGGCGGCAUGAUAAGUUAUUGGCGGCAAAUCGAGGCUCAACCUCGUGGAAACUGAUAAUACUGUCUUGCUUGAGUGCAGAAGAGGUUAACGGAACUCCAUGUGGAGCGGUAAAAUGUGUAGAUAUUACUUAGAACACCAAUUGCGAAGGCAGGUCACUAUGUCUUAACUGACGCUGAUGGACGAAAGCGUGGGGAGCGAACAGG